RNA transcript from Triticum aestivum (bread wheat), 2320 nucleotides. RefSeq lists it as uncharacterized. The record is from RefSeq and is a predicted model, not a curated record. NCBI's taxonomy places the organism in Eukaryota, Viridiplantae, Streptophyta, Magnoliopsida, Poales, Poaceae. The transcript is spliced from 5 exons.
CAUACCUAUCGAUCCCCUCGACGACACAGAGCCGUCGUCCUCUCGUGCGAUCCGCUGCCGCCACCUCCGAUCCGCUCCUCCUCUCCCGAGGAUACGCAGCCGCAUCCGUCGACGCCGAUCCGGGCAGACGCGGCCGUCGUGGAUCACGAGGAUCCGGAUGAUGGGGCGGCAGAGAUGGCCACGGAUCUGUUACGGCGACGACGGCGCUAGAUCCACACCCGCAGCAUCAGGAUGGAGGCCGGCGACGAACCCUAGCCUAGCCGUCAGCAUCGGGAUCCAACCCCUGCUCUCGGUGCUGGGGCAAGGCAUAUGGGGGUGUUUGCUGCCGCGGUGGACCUCGACGCCGGCGACAUCUGCAGCAUCUCCCUCCCGUCGGGCUGCAGGACCAGUACGCCCAAGGUACGCCUCCUCCUCCUUCCUUUCCCCUCCCUACCAAGACUCCAGCUUGCUGAUGUGUCCAUUAGUGGCGAAUAAUCCAUCAUGGAUUAGAUUAUUUCCUACGGCAGCUUGAACUGGCCUGCAUGUUUGGUUGAGCAUAUAUACGCAGUGUGAUUAAAUCUCACUAGCAGUCUACACAACACUUGAUGGGAGUUUGAAAAUAACAGUCCAUAAUAAAGGGCCGUGGUGUCUACUAUGCUUUUCAGAAAGGUGAGUGCACUUGUGAAGCUUCCUGUAGAGUUUCACAUGAUGAGUAGGUAAAUGUGCUGCUUGUGCAUUUUCCAAGUAGUUAUAUAGGAGAGCACACAAGCAACAGACUACAUAGCUUGUGCUAAUUUCCAUGAUAAGUUUUAUCGCAUAUGAACAAGUUAUAUUGCCAGUUAAGUUAUUAAUAGAAAUUGAGUUGCUUAUCAUUGAGUAAAAGACAUUCCUUUAGAGUAUUUACAGUUUUAUACUAAUACUUUAUCAAGGUGAUAUGCUGAAGAUUUGUGAUUAUCACAGUAUGGCCUUUACAUUGCUUCUGUAUGAUCUGAACCUGUUGAGCUCAUCACAAAUACCAUAAAAAUUGGCUCUAUCCCUGAUGUCCAAUAAAAAAGGGGAACUAUAGCCUCAGAUCGAAAAAGUUUCUUUUCCUUUGUGAUUUUGCAGCGGGACUUGCUUAUGGAGACGUUCGCUCUGGGUCAAAGCUUAAGAGUAAUGAUGCUUUUGACCAUUUAAUUAGUGUUUAGGGGGAGGAUUUCCACAGUAACCCUGGGCUGGUUAACCUAUUUGGAAUAGAAUUCCCUGAUUUGAAUAUCAAGCAUUCACAACUUCAGAAUACAUUGUCUCGAGGCCGGAUCAAGCGCAUCGCCGAUGCCACGAUCGCCGAUGCGCCGUGCUGCUCCUCUCAUGUGUGCCCUCGACGCUGACGCCGUCCUAUUUUCCGCAGCCACCGCCGUCGGGCUCCGCGUCCACGCGCCCCUUCAAACCUACUGGAUGCAAUCUCGCAUUGCGCUGUCGUCCGCACUGUCUGGCACCACCUAUGGACACAGAACGGCGGAUCAAGGUUUAAUGACUUUGAUCAGGCAAGAUACAUUCUGCCCGCUCAUCUCCCCGUGUUGCCGUUGGCUCCUGGACUGUGUCAUGGCCACACUGAAGACGGGACACUUGUGGUUAUCUUCAUGUGUCAUUGGUGGUCAGAGAAACCAAACAAAGCUGGAGUGAAAGGUCUAGGAGUUUCAAUACAGAACAAAGGGUCUACGAGUUUCAAUACAUUGUUGAAAAACUAUGCCAAACAUUAAGGGCAGCAUCGACACCGGCCUCGAUCAGUGUCGGGGCAAUGGUGAACCAAUGAAGAAGCUUAAGGCGGCUCAGGUAGGGUGGCACACGAUAUUAACAUCAGCCACGACCAGCGUCGGAGGAUGGGUCAUUGGGACGGAAGGAGGAAGACAAAGAGGAGGAAGAAGACGAUGAUCACCAAAUUUUACCACCGAUAAAAACAUGCGACCGAUGCAUAGUUGCUCUCAUAGUAUCUACUAAAGAAAUUGAUAAAAGAUGAUAUAUAUUCGUAGGACUUCACUCAUGUCACUUAGUCACUGGUUUGAUUUAUUUUCCUGUAUUUUGCCCAGGCAACACACGGGCAUUGUACUAGCAACUGGCUCCGGGCCCAGCCUACAUUAGUGGGUGUGUUAUGUAUUUGCAAGGUUGUGUCCAGUAUAAGACUUAAUUCCUUGUAACCAUAAAUGUGAGCUAGGAAGAAUAAAAUUUGUGCUCUAUUGAACUUACUGUAGAGCGGAGCAAGACGAUCGAAGAGAGGGAGGGAUUACAAAUAUUUCAUUCAUGGCAGAGUUAGAAGUAGAACAAGCAAUGUAGAUGGACAAUUAUGCUUUCUUAAGAGUAUAUA